RNAcentral lists this long non-coding RNA (380 nucleotides) under Numida meleagris (helmeted guineafowl). RNAcentral's name for it is "lncRNA (ENSNMEG00000014453.1)". Lineage: Eukaryota; Metazoa; Chordata; Aves; Galliformes; Numididae. The record is from RNAcentral.
GAGACAGAGCUCCAAAAGACAGUGCAAGUAGCCUGAUAUUAGUGAUGGAAAUAUUUUUAUGCAAAGAAAAUAUAUCAAAAAUAGUACCAAUACACUGGAAGAGCUUCCUUCUUCUGGAGACUGGACAGAGCACCUAGACUGUGAGCUGGAACACUUCAUAACAGAUGAAGCUGCUACAACUUGCCUUCCUUUCUCCCAGAGCUGCGCAGCCUCUGCUGCCAGAAGCGCUCUUCCAUUGUAGCGCAUGCAGCAGGUAAGCGUCUGCCAAAUGACAAAACAGAAACCUUCUAACAAGUAGCUGAAGGUAAGGUGGAGAUUCCAAAUAGAGACAAAUCUAUGUCCCUCAGGAGAUCUGGAGCAAACCGAUCAGUAUAAAAAGU